This 75-nucleotide transfer RNA is filed under the name Tannerella sp. Its description in RNAcentral is "tRNA-Pro". It matches the Rfam family "tRNA". From Rfam's summary of the family: Transfer RNA (tRNA) molecules are approximately 80 nucleotides in length. Their secondary structure includes four short double-helical elements and three loops (D, anti-codon, and T loops). Lineage: Bacteria; Pseudomonadati; Bacteroidota; Bacteroidia; Bacteroidales; Tannerellaceae. The record is from RNAcentral.
GGAGCAUUAGCUUAUGGGGACAGAGCGUUCGGUCAGGAGACCGAGAAGGAGCGGGUUCGACUCUCGUAUGCUUCA